Molecule: ribosomal RNA, 372 nt
Filed under: uncultured soil bacterium
Lineage: Bacteria
Description: bacterial SSU rRNA
Rfam family: Bacterial small subunit ribosomal RNA
Source: RNAcentral
AGAGUGAACGCUGGCGGCAGGCCUAACACAUGCAAGUCGAACGGCAGCACAGGGGAGCUUGCUCCCCGGGUGGCGAGUGGCGGACGGGUGAGGAAUACAUGGGAAUCUGCCCAAUCGUGGGGGAUAACGUAGGGAAACUUACGCUAAUACCGCAUACGACCUUAGGGUGAAAGCGGCGGACCGCAAGGCGUCGCGCGAUUGGAUGAGCCCAUGUCGGAUUAGCUUGUUGGCGGGGUAAAGGCCCACCAAGGCGACGAUCCGUAGCUGGUCUGAGAGGAUGAUCAGCCACACUGGAACUGAGACACGGUCCAGACUCCUACGGGAGCAGCAGUGGGGAAUAUUGGACAAGUGGCGCAAGCCUGAUCCAGCCAU